GUUGCCCAAUCACACUUCAUGUCAUAAGUACCUUGUUCUAAAUGUUGUUGUAGGUUAAUGGUUUCCGUGCAAAGUUGCAACACUGCAGAGCAUUGUUAGACAAGAUACCUGGGAUAGAAAUGAGCUGUGAAGAACAGAAGGAACUUUUAAUUAAGUGUAAAACCCAAUACACCAAAAAAUGUGAGCUGCUGAGAAAUUACAGAAAUCUACCAGUGUUUGCAGAAGCUUUUGUCAAGGAGACAAAAUAGUUGAAAUUUUGUGAUGUCAAAAAUACUAGUUGGAAGAUGCAGAGGUUAAAAAACAACUGAGGAUGCCUUUGUGCUGUUGGAAGGAGACUUCAUUCCCUUGGAAUGAGAGAAAAUUCCUGCCUCUAGAGAAGAGUACUUGAUCAUUCUUUUUGUUAUCAGGUGGGGGAAUGUUUGCUUCACAAACUGUGAUUAACCCUGGUGUUUAUUAGACCAACCCUCAAUCAGACUGCACAGUCAACCUCUUAAAUGCAGACUUUCCAUUUUCACCAAUACUUUCACCUCUAAGCUUAUUCCAUAUGACAAACAGGUCUGAAAGAAAAAUCUUUCUGGAAAUCAGAUUGAAAUCACUUUCAAUAAAUUUUUGUCAAAAAUUAUAUAUUCUUAACUUUGAUCAAUUUCCCUGUAAGCUUUGCCUUUUUUUAGAGUAUAACUAACAACCAAUGUUCUUCUUCAUUACUUUUAUUCACUCCAAAGAAAACAUUAUGUAAGUUGAAAUUGAUAGUACCACUGUUUUGACUGAGGAAGAAGUAAAUACAGAGACAUACUGAGGAA
RNAcentral lists this long non-coding RNA (800 nucleotides) under Pocillopora damicornis (cauliflower coral). RNAcentral describes it as "uncharacterized LOC113677849, transcript variant X1". The record is from RNAcentral. Lineage: Eukaryota; Metazoa; Cnidaria; Anthozoa; Scleractinia; Pocilloporidae.